This 1223-nucleotide long non-coding RNA is filed under the name Brassica rapa (field mustard). Its description in RNAcentral is "long non-coding RNA (BRAP_LNC007344)". The record is from RNAcentral. Lineage: Eukaryota; Viridiplantae; Streptophyta; Magnoliopsida; Brassicales; Brassicaceae.
UCACGGUUGCCACUGCAAACGUGAAGCUUUCUUCUUUGAAGUAUCUAGAGAACAUUGACUCAAAUACAGCCCUGAAGUUCUUGCCAGAGCUUCGAGUGGAUAAGGAUGGUUAUCCACCUUUUGCCUUGCAGGAUACAUAAACCAUUUAUGUUUCAUAUGAUAAGGACGAACAUUUCAUAGUCAUUUGGGAUUAAAUUGACACUUUUAUAGUACUUUAAUUUGAUAAGGACUAUUGCUAAUUCUAUGUCAAAGUAGUAUAAAAGUGUUAAUCCAAUAAUAAAUGACUAGGUGAUAAUCCGCGCCCUGCGGGGAGCGAGAAGAUUUUUUUAUAACUUUUAAUAUGUAGGCAUAAUAAAAGUUAAAGUCAUAGUAAAAAAUAUAUAUGUAAGAAAGUACGGAUUAUAACUAAGAAUUUUAGUAUGUCAAUAAAAAUUUAUAUGCGAUGAACUUUAAAAUUAAAUUGUAUAUUUGUUUGCAUGUAGGUAAAUUAUAAAUAUAAUAUUAAAUGAAACAUAAGCAAUAGUCUAAUAAAAUAUAAAGGUCAAUUUAUAAAUAAAAGAAAAUGAAAAAUAGAGACAAAAUAACUGCUGUCAAUAAUGCCUUCAGAAGUCUUCGUUUGCAAUCAUAUUAUGAGCAAUAGCAAAGAGAUCAUCUAGAGAAAUUAAAAACAUUAUUUAACAAAAUAAGUGAAUGCAUGUAUUACCUCAAUCGUAAAGCAUCAAUUUCUGGAACACCAAUGGGGUCGAAGACAAUUUUGGAAAACCCAUCAAUGUUAGUAACCCUCUAAGUCGGCCUUAUUAUGAAAUAUUAAAAAUAUUAGCAUAAUAUACAUAUAAUAUCAGCUCCUAUUAAUCUAUUGUAUAUACAAUAAAUACAAUAGAUUACCUUGGCCUCAAUUAAUUUGCCAACACUGUAAAACACAUAAUACUAUGUCUGCAUCUAUAGAUCCAUCAAGAAUCACAAGAACAGAACUGGAAAAAUUCAAGAACAGUUCAAGAACAGAGGAGAGAGACUGGUGUGAAUGAUAAGAGAUUUUAAAGAGAAAAAGAGAAAUAAAACCAGAGUAAUUUACGGAAGAGAUUUAGGUUUCAAGAGAUUGUUGCUCUGAUACCAUGAAAAUUUAUGAGAAUUAGUGAAAGUUUAUGAGAAUUAUUUGAGAGAUUUUGGUGAAGAACUAAGAGAGGUAUGUGAGAAAAUCCAAGAGAGAAACAAGAAUAUUUGAG